GGUGAAGCUGCGAUCGAGGGACGAGGAAGUAUACAAUUAGCGAUUGGCAUUCAUAACUCACCACCCCUGGCCUGACGGACCCCGACUGAUUUCCGGGUCACGUGACUGACGCACACUCCGCGAAGGGGAAGUCGACCGUGGUCUGAACCGACCGUAACUGGAGCAGUAGGCGCGCACUAAAGAUACACGCAGGCCUCGGUUGGGGACCGGUGGCUCACAUGACCGCAGCGGUGCUGCCUCCCUGCGCUCGACCCGCCGUGCGGGUGCCGAGUCCGACGCGGCACAGCGGGGAACAACAGCACACCGGAGGCGUCGGAUAUUUCCACGUGAUCCGUUGUGACAGAGCGGUUUGAAACUACGUUUUCACACCAAGUAUAGCGGAGGAGUCCAAAUCAAGAGAAGCAGGCCUCUGUGAUUCAUGUGCCUGUCAAGAUGAGUACAGACAGACCCAAACGAAAUAUCAUCAAAAAGAAAUAUGACAUCAGUGACGGGAUGCCUUGGUGUGAAGAACGUCUGGUCCGCAAAGUUCUUUUCCUCUCUCUCAGGGAAUUCAGGGACACGCACCGCGCCAUGCACACACACUCGCACAGACACACACGCGUGUCGGAAAACACGCGCCUACAGCGAAAGACGCAGGCGCUGCCGAAAACCGCGCGCGCAGGACCGAGUGCGCACGCGCCCCAGCAGAGGGCCGCGCGCAGGCCACCGAACACCACAGCUAGCACGCACACCGCAAAACACCCACAAGGCAAAGUGCAAAGAAACAACUCGUCUCAGGACUCGCACACGCCGAAAAGUAAAUGCACUCACCCACUACAGAACAGGCGAACGCAAUCAAAAACGUGCGGCGGGAAAAUGAAGCGCGCCGUCCAGCACGCACACCUACGAGAAAGUACACGCGCCUUCCGGAAGAAUUCGGCAACAACAAGGACGCUGCGCUCGCACAAAAAACAGAAGGCACGGACGCUGCAGUGCUCCAGAUACGCAGAAACCGCCAAACGGGCGCACGCUCCUCAGCAGAAGCACUCCGUGAAAAGCACCUGCGCACCCGGGAACCCGCGGGCGCUGCUGAGCCCCCCCGGCGCCGCCCGGGCGCUGCGGUCACAUGUUCCCACGCGCCUCAAAGGCUCCCGGGUGAACGGCAUCAGCCGCUGUCGCUCCGUCCUGUCGGCGAGCUGGAGCUGGUCUUUACCGGCACGCCCUCAAGAGCGGCGCCAUGCUGGCAUCCAUCGCCUGAAGGCCGCUCCGGUGUGCGUGGAGAAAAGGCCGCGGGUGCAAGCGCAGAGGAAGUUUGCCCAGUCCCCUCCCAGCUCUCCGGGACCAACAGUUUCGAGGACACCGGCACGAAGCAACCACGUCCACAACCUGUCCGUGGUCACCUGUCUUACCCGACGCCGGCCCAAGACCGAGGACUUCUUGUCCUUCCUCUGUCUGAGAGGUUCAGCGGCGUUGCCUAGCAACAUGUCCUUCUUAGCCAGCGGACGAGCGAAGGAGCCAUCUGGCGCUCAGCAUCUCGCCUCCUGUCGCUCCACCAAUCACAGGACCGCCGCUGAGGGGAAGACCAUGAGCAUGAUCAGUAGAACCACAGCACAGCGAGACUUUAAGUCUCUGCGAAGGAGGCCUGGCGGCUCUGCAGUGGUCACCUCCUUCUGUCCUCCCACUGCCCGCGCACAGAGGAGGCAAGAGAGGGAGAGGAGAGAGGAGGAGGAGCAGCAGCAGCAGCAGAAGAGGAGGCGGGAGGGGACGGAGGAGGACAGAAGAGACGGAGCUGAAAGCCACCUGCUGAGACCUCACCAGCUCUCCCUCCAUGUCAGGAGGACUGACAAGGUUGCCAUGGUGACUGGACUCUGUGAACAAACCACCUUCUGCGUCCGGUCCCUUCCUACAUUACAGCCGAGCCCUGUAAUGGGGAGCAGGCGCCGCCCCAGACCGUGCAAUCGGCAGGAAGACACCUGUAAACCACAGAUCCAGGACCCCAACAAUAAACACCUCGCCCGGCACAGCAGACACCAGCUGCCCCGCAAUCAGCACCUUCCGCUCCACCAACGUGCCGUCUCCGACUACUAUAGCAACCCCAUGACCUUCGGCAGUCUGCAGAACUCAGGAAGACACUCAGCGAGGACUCCGCCUCUGUGUAACGGCCCGGUUAACAGGACGGUAAGUGAGAAGCCCGGCGUCCUGCGCUCGUCCAGGAGAAGGAGAGGUCUCCCGCCCGACACCACCCUACUGAACGGGGUUCUUUUGGACGGCAGCUCGUCAAAGAAGUGCAGGACAGUGCCACUUGGUGACGGCGAUGUCCCACGGAGGGAAGACCGCUGCGGCAAAGAUGUGAGUCACGUUGGUGGAAUCCCCCGCAGCCACGAGCGCGAACUGGAAGGAGACGCCUGUGGCCGUGUUGGAGAGACGAGAGCAGAGGGGGACAGUUGCGUUGGCGACGACCAGCGGGGCAGAGCAAAGAUCGAAGAGUUAACUUUGACCAGCGUCUCUGCUCUGGAGCCCUCUGAAGAAAGGGUCUACCCAGCCGACACCGCCGCACACUGUGACCUCGGCCACGUCGAGCUGCUGCUGCUAGGACUCCCAUGAUUAAAGCUGCUCUCAACUCGGUGACAACUGACCCCCCGGCCAGUUGUUCUGCCACGCACACUCCAAAGGCUACUGGCAAGAACGCUGCCAAGUGCACUCCACCAGCCAUCAGUUGCUCCAUCCAUGAUUCCAAAGGUGCAGCGAAAGACUCUUCCGAAGGCUCCACUGAGGACCCGACGGAGGACAGGAGCUGUCCCAGCACUUCCAAGGGCUCCGCGAAGGGCCUCGCCCAGACCAGGUCUACUACCUCAGCCAUUAAGACCAGGACCAGCCCCAGAACUCUUCUGAAGCGCUAACACACCCUCGAGCUUCGCCCGAAAACUUUCCUGAAUUUACUAAAUCAAUUGAUGUUGAAGACUAGUGGGAAGGUUGUAUUUUUUGUUUGUUUUGUUGAAAGCAUUGGAUACUGUUCAUCUCUUCAUGAUGAUGUUUGUUGGCUGGUCAGAUACUGACGCAGUGACUGUGUUCUGUUCUUGACAUAAAUGAUGUGGGAUUGUUUAAAAGCUACGUGGGUGAAAUAAAUCAUUUAAAGACGUGGUAUAACGCUGGAGACUGCUGCUUGCAGUGGUUUAGUCCGUUUUCAGAUGCUUCCCUGCUGUGUUUGGAAUAAUAACUUGAUAUUUUUCUAAACCUAAUCCUUAUUAAGAUGGAAAAGGCAGUGUGUGUUUAUAGAAAUACUUUUAAUUAAAGCAAUGAGUUUAACUGUAGAGUUCUACCUGCCAACGCUGUGGUGCUUUUUGGCCGUCUUCGGACAGUCCUUCAUUUAAACAGCAAGCAUCUGGUCAGGAUGGUUUACAUCACCAACAUAAAGGGUUUAUCAAUUAUAAUCCUCACAUUUUUUAUGAAUACAUUUAUUCAAGUCCCCUUUUAACAGUA
Molecule: long non-coding RNA, 3459 nt
Organism: Gasterosteus aculeatus (three-spined stickleback)
Lineage: Eukaryota; Metazoa; Chordata; Actinopteri; Perciformes; Gasterosteidae
Source: Ensembl